This is a long non-coding RNA of Mustela lutreola (European mink), 456 nucleotides long. RefSeq lists it as uncharacterized. Lineage: Eukaryota; Metazoa; Chordata; Mammalia; Carnivora; Mustelidae. The record is from RefSeq and is a predicted model, not a curated record. The transcript has 3 exons.
GAUUGACUCUGGAUGUAAAAAGCCGAGUCCCACAUGGCCAGUGGCAUACAUGUCAAGGCCAAGUCUUCAUAGUCCAGAUAUGAUUGGUAAAUGACUCAACAAAAUUAUUCAACCCCUAUAUUGGAUCUUAUUCUCAGUGCUGGGAAUAUAAGAGGUAACACAAUAUUUUUGCCACCUGGUAACCAUUUAGUGGCUUGCUGUCUGUCAAAUUGGAAUCAUUAAUCUAAGAUCCACAAAACACACUGACCUCAUCAGGAACUAUCAACCACAUUAAUCACAUGUCUGGCCCUCAAUCUGAUCAUCCUGUCGUGUAGUCAGCUGGUGUGGUGUCUCUGCAGAGCUCAUGGCUUCCACUUCCUUUUCUCCUGCGUGCAGGCCUGCUGCUUAAAACACUACCAAAGGGCAAUCACUCCCCUUCCCAUCCUUCCCACUGCAUUGGUUUCAAUUUUGGUGGAA